RNAcentral lists this transfer RNA (73 nucleotides) under Felis catus (domestic cat). It matches the Rfam family "tRNA". From Rfam's summary of the family: Transfer RNA (tRNA) molecules are approximately 80 nucleotides in length. Lineage: Eukaryota; Metazoa; Chordata; Mammalia; Carnivora; Felidae. The record is from Rfam by way of RNAcentral.
GCCUGGCUGGCUUAGUCUGUGGAGCCUGUGACUCUUGGUCUUGAGGUUGUGGGUUCGAGCCCCAUGUUGGGUG